GACGAACGCUGGCGGCGUGCUUUAGGCAUGCAAGUCGAACGCGAAAGCCCCUUCGGGGGUGAGUAGAGUGGCGAACGGGUGAGUAACACGUGGGUAACCUGCCCCUCGCAGGGGGAUAACCGGGGGAAACCCCGGCUAAUACCCCGUACGCUUGCUGGGGCGCAUGCUCCGGCAAGGAAAGGUAGCUUCGGCCAUCCGGCGAGGGAGGGGCCCGCGGCCCAUUAGCUAGUUGGUGGGGUAACGGCCCACCAAGGCGACGAUGGGUAGCUGGCCUGAGAGGGUGGUCAGCCACACUGGGACUGAGACACGGCCCAGACUCCUACGGGAGGCAGCAGCCAGGAAUCUUGCGCAGUGGGCGAAAGCCUGACGCAGCAACGCCGCGUGGGCGAUGAAGGCCUUCGGGUCGUAAAGCCCUGUUGUCGGGGACGAAGGGCGAAGGGUUAAUAGCCCCUAGCCUGACGGUACCCGACGAGGAAGCCCCGGCUAACUACGUG
This 494-nucleotide ribosomal RNA is filed under the name uncultured bacterium. RNAcentral's name for it is "partial 16S ribosomal RNA". It matches the Rfam family "Bacterial small subunit ribosomal RNA", at positions 28 to 507 of the family's 1533-position model. The record is from RNAcentral.